Molecule: ribosomal RNA, 2352 nt
Filed under: Escherichia coli
Lineage: Bacteria; Pseudomonadati; Pseudomonadota; Gammaproteobacteria; Enterobacterales; Enterobacteriaceae
Also listed under: 1 other name
Description: bacterial LSU rRNA
Rfam family: Bacterial large subunit ribosomal RNA
Source: RNAcentral
GUGACUGCGUACCUUUUGUAUAAUGGGUCAGCGACUUAUAUUCUGUAGCAAGGUUAACCGAAUAGGGGAGCCGAAGGGAAACCGAGUCUUAACUGGGCGUUAAGUUGCAGGGUAUAGACCCGAAACCCGGUGAUCUAGCCAUGGGCAGGUUGAAGGUUGGGUAACACUAACUGGAGGACCGAACCGACUAAUGUUGAAAAAUUAGCGGAUGACUUGUGGCUGGGGGUGAAAGGCCAAUCAAACCGGGAGAUAGCUGGUUCUCCCCGAAAGCUAUUUAGGUAGCGCCUCGUGAAUUCAUCUCCGGGGGUAGAGCACUGUUUCGGCAAGGGGGUCAUCCCGACUUACCAACCCGAUGCAAACUGCGAAUACCGGAGAAUGUUAUCACGGGAGACACACGGCGGGUGCUAACGUCCGUCGUGAAGAGGGAAACAACCCAGACCGCCAGCUAAGGUCCCAAAGUCAUGGUUAAGUGGGAAACGAUGUGGGAAGGCCCAGACAGCCAGGAUGUUGGCUUAGAAGCAGCCAUCAUUUAAAGAAAGCGUAAUAGCUCACUGGUCGAGUCGGCCUGCGCGGAAGAUGUAACGGGGCUAAACCAUGCACCGAAGCUGCGGCAGCGACGCUUAUGCGUUGUUGGGUAGGGGAGCGUUCUGUAAGCCUGUGAAGGUGUGCUGUGAGGCAUGCUGGAGGUAUCAGAAGUGCGAAUGCUGACAUAAGUAACGAUAAAGCGGGUGAAAAGCCCGCUCGCCGGAAGACCAAGGGUUCCUGUCCAACGUUAAUCGGGGCAGGGUGAGUCGACCCCUAAGGCGAGGCCGAAAGGCGUAGUCGAUGGGAAACAGGUUAAUAUUCCUGUACUUGGUGUUACUGCGAAGGGGGGACGGAGAAGGCUAUGUUGGCCGGGCGACGGUUGUCCCGGUUUAAGCGUGUAGGCUGGUUUUCCAGGCAAAUCCGGAAAAUCAAGGCUGAGGCGUGAUGACGAGGCACUACGGUGCUGAAGCAACAAAUGCCCUGCUUCCAGGAAAAGCCUCUAAGCAUCAGGUAACAUCAAAUCGUACCCCAAACCGACACAGGUGGUCAGGUAGAGAAUACCAAGGCGCUUGAGAGAACUCGGGUGAAGGAACUAGGCAAAAUGGUGCCGUAACUUCGGGAGAAGGCACGCUGAUAUGUAGGUGAAGUCCCUCGCGGAUGGAGCUGAAAUCAGUCGAAGAUACCAGCUGGCUGCAACUGUUUAUUAAAAACACAGCACUGUGCAAACACGAAAGUGGACGUAUACGGUGUGACGCCUGCCCGGUGCCGGAAGGUUAAUUGAUGGGGUCAGCGCAAGCGAAGCUCUUGAUCGAAGCCCCGGUAAACGGCGGCCGUAACUAUAACGGUCCUAAGGUAGCGAAAUUCCUUGUCGGGUAAGUUCCGACCUGCACGAAUGGCGUAAUGAUGGCCAGGCUGUCUCCACCCGAGACUCAGUGAAAUUGAACUCGCUGUGAAGAUGCAGUGUACCCGCGGCAAGACGGAAAGACCCCGUGAACCUUUACUAUAGCUUGACACUGAACAUUGAGCCUUGAUGUGUAGGAUAGGUGGGAGGCUUAGAAGUGUGGACGCCAGUCUGCAUGGAGCCGACCUUGAAAUACCACCCUUUAAUGUUUGAUGUUCUAACGUUGACCCGUAAUCCGGGUUGCGGACAGUGUCUGGUGGGUAGUUUGACUGGGGCGGUCUCCUCCUAAAGAGUAACGGAGGAGCACGAAGGUUGGCUAAUCCUGGUCGGACAUCAGGAGGUUAGUGCAAUGGCAUAAGCCAGCUUGACUGCGAGCGUGACGGCGCGAGCAGGUGCGAAAGCAGGUCAUAGUGAUCCGGUGGUUCUGAAUGGAAGGGCCAUCGCUCAACGGAUAAAAGGUACUCCGGGGAUAACAGGCUGAUACCGCCCAAGAGUUCAUAUCGACGGCGGUGUUUGGCACCUCGAUGUCGGCUCAUCACAUCCUGGGGCUGAAGUAGGUCCCAAGGGUAUGGCUGUUCGCCAUUUAAAGUGGUACGCGAGCUGGGUUUAGAACGUCGUGAGACAGUUCGGUCCCUAUCUGCCGUGGGCGCUGGAGAACUGAGGGGGGCUGCUCCUAGUACGAGAGGACCGGAGUGGACGCAUCACUGGUGUUCGGGUUGUCAUGCCAAUGGCACUGCCCGGUAGCUAAAUGCGGAAGAGAUAAGUGCUGAAAGCAUCUAAGCACGAAACUUGCCCCGAGAUGAGUUCUCCCUGACUCCUUGAGAGUCCUGAAGGAACGUUGAAGACGACGACGUUGAUAGGCCGGGUGUGUAAGCGCAGCGAUGCGUUGAGCUAACCGGUACUAAUGAACCGUGAGGCUUAACCUU